GUAGGGAAUAUUGGACAAUGGGGGCAACCCUGAUCCAGCGACGCCGCGUGAGUGAUGAAGGCCUUCGGGUCGUAAAGCUCUGUUGCAGGGGAAGAACACAAUGACGGUACCCUGCUAGAAAGGAUCGGCUAACUUCGUGCCAGCAGCCGCGGUAAGACGAGGGAUCCUAGCGUUGUUCGGAAUUAUUGGGCGUAAAGCGGGUGCAGGUGGCUUGGUAAGUCAGAUGUGAAAGCCUGGGGCUUAACCCCAGAAGUGCAUUUGAUACUGCUGAGCUUGAGUGCUGGAGAGGCUAUUAGAAUUCCUGGUGUAGUGGUGAAAUACGUAGAUAUCAGGAGGAAUACCGGAGGCGAAGGCGGAUAGCUGGCCAGACACUGACACUCAGACCCGAAAGCGUGGGGAUCAAACAGGAUUAGAAACCCUUGUAGUCC
Molecule: ribosomal RNA, 428 nt
Filed under: uncultured bacterium
Lineage: Bacteria
Description: bacterial SSU rRNA
Rfam family: Bacterial small subunit ribosomal RNA
Source: RNAcentral